CCUACGGGAGGCUGCAGUGGUGAAUAUUGGGCAAUGGGCGCAAGCCUGACCCAGCAACGCCGCGUGAAGGCAGCAGGCUUUCGGGUUGUAAACUUCUUUUAAGAGGGAAGAGCAGAAGACGGUACCUCUUGAAUAAGCCUCGGCUAACUACGUUCCAGCAGCCGCGGUAAUACGUAGGAGGCAAGCGUUAUCCGGAAUGACUGGGCGUAAAGGGUGCGUAGGUGGUUUGACAAGUUAGUAGCGCAACUCCGGAGCUAAACUUCGGAACUACUACUAAAACUGUUGGACGUGAGUGCAGGAGGGGGAAUCGGAAUUCCUAGUGUAGCGGUGGAAUGCGUAGAUAUUAGGAGGAACACCAGUGGCGAAGGCGGAUUGCUAGACUGUAACUGACACUGAGGCACGAAAGCGUGGGGAGCAAACAGGAUUAGAUACCCGAGUAGUC
This 442-nucleotide ribosomal RNA is filed under the name uncultured bacterium. RNAcentral describes it as "partial 16S ribosomal RNA". It matches the Rfam family "Bacterial small subunit ribosomal RNA", at positions 338 to 795 of the family's 1533-position model. The record is from RNAcentral.